This 245-nucleotide ribosomal RNA is filed under the name uncultured bacterium. Its description in RNAcentral is "partial 16S ribosomal RNA". It matches the Rfam family "Bacterial small subunit ribosomal RNA", at positions 88 to 334 of the family's 1533-position model. The record is from RNAcentral.
CUGGCGACCGGCGCACGGGUGAGUAACACGUAUCCAACCUGCCGAUAACUCGGGGAUAGCCUUUCGAAAGAAAGAUUAAUACCCGAUGGCAUAAUUAGACCGCAUGGUCUUAUUAUUAAAGAAUUUCGGUUAUCGAUGGGGAUGCGUUCCAUUAGGCAGUUGGUGAGGUGACGGCUCACCAAACCUUCGAUGGAUAGGGGUUCUGAGAGGAAGGUCCCCCACAUUGGAACUGAGACACGGUCCAA